This 204-nucleotide long non-coding RNA is filed under the name Homo sapiens (human). Its description in RNAcentral is "non-protein coding lnc-IRX3-6:2". Lineage: Eukaryota; Metazoa; Chordata; Mammalia; Primates; Hominidae. The record is from RNAcentral.
CAAAAUUGUCCCGUGUCAUGAGAAGAUGGGUCACCCCUCUGCAUUUGACAUUUUGAGAUGUUUGCAUCUGUACAGAGGGAGAAAGAGGGCUGGAGAGAAACGACUGCAACGAGAGCAAAAAGGAAAAACAGUAAAGACGUUAGAGACAUUCAUUUUGGAAACACCCUCACGUUACAGAGCACCCAACGAAUACUAUGAAAAGUG